This 468-nucleotide ribosomal RNA is filed under the name Megalyra sp. M69. RNAcentral's name for it is "eukaryotic LSU rRNA". Lineage: Eukaryota; Metazoa; Arthropoda; Insecta; Hymenoptera; Megalyridae. The record is from RNAcentral.
AAACCGUUCAGGGGUAAACCUGAGAAACCCAAAAGAUCGAAUGGGGAGAUUCAUCGUCAGCGACUGCGGCUGCGCGCGGGUUCGGCGAUGUCGGUACCGGUUCUCCGGUCUCCGGCACGCGACCGCGCGUACGUUCGCCGGCGUCGGCGUGCACUUCUCCCCUAGUAGGACGUCGCGACCCGUUGGGUGUCGGUCUACGGCCCGGGUGGAUGCCUAUUCCGCGUCGCUUAAACGCGAACGGGGUAGACCCCUGGUUGCCCGACCGGCUGCUCGGCGGUACUCGCACGGUAUACGGCCGCAACUCGAACGCGCCAAGCCCGCUGCAAGCGCGGCCAGUGCACUCCCGGAGGCGCGGACGCAAUGCGCCGUCCCCGGGCCUGGCCAGCUGUUGGCUAGCGGUGUCCUUUGGCUGGCCGAAAAAUUUGGAGAUACCGGUCGGCGACGCUACUGCUUUGGGUACUUUCAGGA